AUUUCAUUUCUUGAUGGCCACAAUAUCUAGCUGAUACUUCUCUAUUUCUUUUAAUACAUUGUUCAUUGCUCCAGGUCAGAAAAGACUUCUUACAUUCCAUAAUUCUACUUGUAGCUGUUUAGAAUAUACCUUGGAUCAUUCAUUCAGAAUAGAAAAAAGAAUAAUCCAGAAAGAAUAGAAAAUUCCUUUGUUUUGUGAAUGCUUCUUAAUAGGUCUGUUUUUUUACAAGAAGAGGAUGCCUCUUGCUCAACCCCCCAUACUUGGAAGACCAGGAUAUGUUUCUUCAUCUGGCUUGACCUGUCCAGCCUGGAAGGCCCUACCAGUAACAAGCUAUUGUCAUUAUAGCUCUCAGGGUUAUCAGAGCACAUGUCUCCCACCACAACAAGAUGUAGACACCAUUGAUGAGGAUGAAAUUUUUUUCACUAGGAUCAGUUAUGUCUGAGACAAAUGAUAUAAAUAUUCCAUGUGAUAUUUUGAAACAACAUAAAUCAGAGAAUGAUUGUAUAUACAGUUCAUUCUUUACUAUAAUCAUUAAUAUUGGAUGAAAUAAAAUUGUCAUUGCACUGAAUUUUGCAAUGAUAAAUUUAAAGCAUGUGAGCCAUAAUACUUUGAUGAGACAUGGAAUAAUGCAGUUUUUCCUGCAAUAUGAUGCAAAAAUAUAUAAUUAAUAUAUAAAACAAUUUUAUAAUGGAC
This 693-nucleotide long non-coding RNA is filed under the name Androctonus crassicauda. The record is from RNAcentral. Lineage: Eukaryota; Metazoa; Arthropoda; Arachnida; Scorpiones; Buthidae.